UNGUUGCCUGGGAAACUCUGUGUGGAAG
RNAcentral lists this non-coding RNA (28 nucleotides) under Mus musculus (house mouse). The record is from RNAcentral. Lineage: Eukaryota; Metazoa; Chordata; Mammalia; Rodentia; Muridae.